RNAcentral lists this ribosomal RNA (458 nucleotides) under uncultured bacterium. RNAcentral describes it as "partial 16S ribosomal RNA". It matches the Rfam family "Bacterial small subunit ribosomal RNA", at positions 355 to 803 of the family's 1533-position model. The record is from RNAcentral.
UGGGGAAUUUUGGACGAAUUGGGCGAAAGCCUGAUCCAGCAAUGCCGCGUGUGUGAAGAAGGCCUUCGGGUUGUAAAGCACUUUUGUCCGGAAAGAAAUCCUUGGCUCUAAUACAGUCGGGGGAUGACGGUACCGGAAGAAUAAGCACCGGCUAACUACGUGCCAGCAGCCGCGGUAAUACGUAGGGGUGCAAGCGUUAAUCGGAAUUACUGGGCGUAAAGCGUGCGCAGGCGGUUUGCUAAGACCGAUGUGAAAUCCCCGGGCUCAACCUGGGAACUGCAUUGGUGACUGGCAGGCUAGAGUAUGGCAGAGGGGGGUGAGAAUUCCACGUGUAGCAGUGAAAUGCGUAGAGAUGUGGAGGAAUACCGAUGGCGAAGGCAGCCCCCUGGCAAUACUGACGCUCAUGCACGAAAGCGUGGGGAGCAAACAGGAUUAGAUACCCUGGUAGUCCACGCCCU